GCAGCUUGAGCUGUUAUUUACAUGGAUUGCACGAGACCAUCUACAAUGUCAUGCUGUUUCUUUGUUAGGAUACUAUUGUAGAGCUAAGCUCCUUAGCAUGCAAAGGAGCUUGCAAAUACCUCUUGGGAAAAUACCACAGAAGAUUUUUUUUUUUUCAUUUUAUAGGCAUCAAAAUAUCCUGCUUGGGUUGCCUGCCAUAAUCAAUAUUCUGAAGUUCAUAAUCAGUUUGGAAGUUUGAUGUCUGUUAGGCUAUAAAUGUUUUGAUUAUUUUGCCUGAUUCAUGGAUGUUUAUGUUCCACCAGCAAUCCAGCUUAUGAAACUGUUGACUGUUUUAAGAUCAAGCUUAGAAAUGACAAGCUCAUGAAAGGGUCUGGACAAUGCCUAUGAUGAGAACAUCUAAAUCUGAAAUUUUAUUCAUGUGCAGCAAUUCAUUAAUGAAUCUAUUUCAAAGAAAAUUGGGUGCUUCUGCUUGCAAGCAAAUCACCUUGUCUAUCAAACUGGAGAAAAUACAUUUGAUGUUGGUGUUCCAUCCAUUAGUAGGGAAUGUUCUUUUGGGACAUUACAAUGAUAUGUCAAUGCCUUAAAGACCACUAUGACAAUGUUCCCUUGAGCUUCAGCUUCAAGAAUGAUUGCCUCGGAGAAUUGGAUGCUGGAAACUAAUUCAAAUGGUACAGCAAUCAAUUCACUGGUGGUCUUUGAUUUUUUUUUCUUUUCUUCUUUUAUCUAAUUUAACUUGUUUUCUGUGUAACUCAUGAACUAAGAUGCUUUAUUAACCUUCUCUCACACACAUUCAUUCACCUACAAAUUAAAACAAAUGACUUUAGAUGUGAAGGUAAGAAAAAGCGGUGCCUUGAUCACCUGCAACAAGCAAAAAAUUAUUUUUCACUUUCCCAGUUACAGCAAGGCAUUUGGGUUUUCAAGAAGACUGAGAAGCAAUUAGCCUGUGAAGAACCUAAAUUCCCUGAUCUAUAUGUAAAGAAUCUGGAAAAUGGGUUGACUGAUGAUUGCCUAUGGGAAAAGUUCUCUGUAUUUGGGAAGAUAAUCAGUGCUAUUGUAAUGAGGAUGAUUAUGGCAAAUCUCAGGGCUUUGGGUUUGUUAGCUUCUAGUUGCCAAAAGAUGCUAAGAAGGUUAUGUGGGCCAUGAAUGGUGCACAACUAGGAUCAAAGAAUCUCCAUGUAGGAAGGGCUCAAAAGAAGGCUGAACGAGAGCAGAUGCUAAGUUGCCUAUUCAAGGGUUUGAACGUGUACAUGAAAAAACCUUGUUGACUCAGUUGAUGACAACGAAUUAUGUUAACUUUUUGGUACUUCCGGCAAAAUAAGUUCAACAAAAGUGAUGCUCAAUGGUGAAGGAUUUGAGUAGGGGAUUCGGUUUUGUGAGUUUUUCCA
Magnolia sinica is the source of this 1385-nucleotide long non-coding RNA. RefSeq lists it as uncharacterized. The transcript is spliced from 6 exons. The record is from RefSeq and is a predicted model, not a curated record. NCBI's taxonomy places the organism in Eukaryota, Viridiplantae, Streptophyta, Magnoliopsida, Magnoliales, Magnoliaceae.